GUCGACAAUACUUCAGAGAAUCAUUUCUAUAGUAUUCGACCCUCUCUUGGUUCCCUAAAGGAGCCACAGAUCCCACCCUGGUUGAUGAUUUAUAUCCUCGACACCCUAGAGUGAAGAAACUCUGGUUGCCCUCGAAUCCCGCGCAAGCAGGACGGUUGCGCCCUCGUGGCGCAGCUGUAUAGAGGGCGUUUGAUGAUCUCGUCCCCGUCCGUGGUCUUGCCUUCGCGGCGCGCGGUCGGGGUGGGUGUUGACGGACGUCUGACAGGC
RNAcentral lists this small nucleolar RNA (267 nucleotides) under Colletotrichum tofieldiae. RNAcentral describes it as "Fungal small nucleolar RNA U3". It matches the Rfam family "Fungal small nucleolar RNA U3". Rfam says of the family: Small nucleolar RNAs (snoRNAs) are involved in the processing and modification of rRNA in the nucleolus. There are two main classes of snoRNAs: the box C/D class, and the box H/ACA class. U3 snoRNA is a member of the box C/D class. The record is from Rfam by way of RNAcentral. Lineage: Eukaryota; Fungi; Ascomycota; Sordariomycetes; Glomerellales; Glomerellaceae.